RNAcentral lists this ribosomal RNA (443 nucleotides) under uncultured bacterium. RNAcentral describes it as "partial 16S ribosomal RNA". It matches the Rfam family "Bacterial small subunit ribosomal RNA", at positions 338 to 795 of the family's 1533-position model. The record is from RNAcentral.
CCUACGGGAGGCAGCAGUGGGGAAUAUUGGGCAAUGGGCGCAAGCCUGACCCAGCAACGCCGCGUGAAGGAAGAAGGCUUUCGGGUUGUAAACUUCUUUUCUCAGGGACGAAGCAAGUGACGGUACCUGAGGAAUAAGCCACGGCUAACUACGUGCCAGCAGCCGCGGUAAUACGUCGGUGGCAAGCGUUAUCCGGAUUUACUGGGUGUAAAGGGCGUGUAGGCGGGAAAGCAAGUCAGAUGUGAAAACCAUGGGCUCAACCUGUGGCCUGCAUUUGAAACUGUUUUUCUUGAGUACUGGGGAGGCAGACGGAAUUCCUAGUGUAGCGGUGAAAUGCGUAGAUAUUAGGAGGAACACCAGUGGCGAAGGCGGUCUGCUGGACAGCAACUGACGCUGAGGCGCGAAAGCGUGGGGAGCAAACAGGAUUAGAUACCCCAGUAGUC